Molecule: ribosomal RNA, 1488 nt
Filed under: uncultured Bordetella sp.
Lineage: Bacteria; Pseudomonadati; Pseudomonadota; Betaproteobacteria; Burkholderiales; Alcaligenaceae
Description: partial 16S-23S ribosomal RNA intergenic spacer
Rfam family: Bacterial small subunit ribosomal RNA
Source: RNAcentral
GGGGUUCGAUUCUGGCUCAAGUUGAACGCUGGCGGGAUGCUUUACACAUACAAGUCGAACGGCAGCACGGACUUCGGUCUGGUGGCGAGUGGCAGAACGGGUGAAGUAAUGUAUCGGAACGAUGCCUAGUAGCGGAGGAUAACUACGCGAAAGCGUAGCUAAUACCACAUACGCCCUUCGGAGAAAGCAGAGAUAUCGGGCCUGUACUAUUAGAGCGGCCGAUAUCGGAUUAGCUGGUUGGUGUAACGGCUCGCAAGGCGGCGACGAUCGUAGCUGGUUUGAGAGGACGACCAGCCACACUGGGACUGCAGGGCGGCCCGAACUCCUGCGGGAGGCAGCAGUGGGGUACGGACAAUGGGGGAAACCCUGAUCCAGCCAUCCCGCGUGUGCGAUGAAGGCCUUCCGGGUUACAAAGCACUUUUGGCAGAAAGAAGCAGCCACAGGAUAACCACCCGUCACAACUGACGAAAACACCUGCAGAAUAAGCACCGGCUAACUACGUGCCAGCAACCGCGGUAAUACGUAGGGUGCAAGAAAGCGUUAAUGGAAUUACUGGGCGUAAAGCGUGCGCAGGCGGUUCGGAAGAAAGAUGUGAAAUCCCAGAGCUUAACUUUGGAACUGCAUUUUUAACUACAGAGCUAAGAGUGUGUCAGGAGGUGGAAUUCCGCGUGCUGGCAGUGAAAUGCGUGGAUAUGCGGAGGAACACCGAUGGCGAAACAGCCUCCUGGAAUACUGACGCUCAUGCGAAAACGUGGGGAGCAAGCAGGUUGGAUACCCUGGUGGUCCACCCUAAACGAUGUCAACUUAUAGCUAUUUGAGGGCCUUUGAGCCUUGGUAGCCUUCAACUAACGCGUGAAGUUGGCCACUUGGGAGUACGGUCGCAAGAUUAAACUCAAAAUUGACGGGGACCCGCACAAGCGGUGGAUGAUGUGGAUUAAUUCGAUGCAACACGAAAAACCUUGCCUACCCUUGACAUGUCUGGAAUCCAAGAGAUUUGGGAGUGCUCGCAAGAGAACCGGAACACAGGUGCUGCAUGGCUGUCGUCAACUCGUGUCGUGAGAUGUUGAGUUGAGUCCCGCAACGAGCGCGCAACCCUUGUCGUGGUGCUACGAAAAGGGCACUCUAAUGGAGCUGCCGGUGACAAACCGGAGGAAGAAGGUGGGGAUGACGUCAGAUCCUCAUGGCCCUUAUGGGUAGGGCGCUACACGUCAUACAAUGGUCGGGACAGAGGGUCGCCAACCCGCGAGGAGCCAAUCCCAGAAACCCCGAUCUCCACGUAGUCGGAUCGCCAGUCUGCAAACUCGACUGCGUGAAGUCGGAAUCGCUAUUAAUCGCGGAUCAGCAUGUCGCGGUGAAUACGUUCCCGGAGUCUUGUACACACCGCCCACGUCACAUAUGGGAGUGGGUUUUACCAGAAGUAGUUAGCUAACCGUAAGGAGGCGAUUACCACGGUAAGUUCAUGACUGGGGUGAAGUCGUAACAAGGUAA